Molecule: non-coding RNA, 29 nt
Filed under: Homo sapiens (human)
Lineage: Eukaryota; Metazoa; Chordata; Mammalia; Primates; Hominidae
Source: RNAcentral
UGGGGAAAAGUGCAUAGAAAGUGCUGGGU